Molecule: ribosomal RNA, 485 nt
Filed under: uncultured bacterium
Lineage: Bacteria
Description: partial 16S ribosomal RNA
Rfam family: Bacterial small subunit ribosomal RNA
Source: RNAcentral
GACGAACGCUGGCGGCGUGCUUAACACAUGCAAGUCGAGCGAUGAAGCACCUUCGGGUGUGAAUUAGCGGCGAACGGGUGAGGAACACGUGAAGAAUCUGCCUUCAACUCUGGGAUAACUCCGGGAAACCGGGGCUAAUACCGGAUAUGAGCCUUGACCGCAUGAUCGGGGCUGGAAAGUUUUUCGGUUGAAGAUGACUUCGCGGCCUAUCAGCUUGUUGGUGAGGUAAUGGCUCACCAAGGCGACGACGGGUAGCCGGCUUGAGAGGACGACCAGCCACACUGGGACUGAGACACGGCCCAGACUCCUACGGGAGGCAGCAGUGGGGAAUUUUGGACAAUGGGGGCAACCCUGAUCCAGCCAUUCCGCGUGUGCGAUGAAGGCCUUCGGGUUGUAAAGCACUUUUGGCAGGAAAGAAAUCGCACGGAUUAAUACUCUGUGUGGAUGACGGUACCUGCAGAAUAAGCACCGGCUAACUACGUGCC